Molecule: ribosomal RNA, 374 nt
Filed under: uncultured organism
Description: bacterial SSU rRNA
Rfam family: Bacterial small subunit ribosomal RNA
Source: RNAcentral
CAGAGGGUGCGAGCGUUGUCCGGAAUCACUGGGCGUAAAGGGCGCGUAGGUGGUUUGGUAAGUGUGUGGUGAAAGCACGGGGCUCAACCCCGUGUCUGCCACGCAAACUGCUGAACUUGAGCAUACUAGAGGCAGGUUGAAUUCCGGGUGUAGCGGUGGAAUGCGUAGAGAUCCGGAAGAACACCAGUGGCGAAGGCGGCCUGCUGGGGUAGGAGCUGACACUGAGGCGCGACAGCGUGGGGAGGCAAACAGGAUUAGAUACCCUGGUAGUCCACGUCGUAAACGAUGGGUGCUAGGUGCUUGGGGGAGCGACCCCUUGAGUGCCGGCGCUAACGCAUGAAGUACCCCGCCUGGGGAGUACGACCGCAAGGUUG